AGUGUCGAAAGCCACAACGAAGGUCACAGCAAGUAAACUUCUGAAGGAACUUGUAUUUAGAUAUGGAGUACCUGAAGUGAUUAAAAGUGACAGAGGUAGCCAUUUCACUGGGGAAAUAAUGCAAGAAAUUAUGAAAGCCUUAGGGAUCAGUCAGGCCUUCCACACCCCCUAUCACCCCCAGAGUAGUGGGAAAGUAGAAAGGGCAAAUGGCACCUUAAAGAACAAGAUUGCAAAAGCCAUGCAAGACACAGGGAAGCCCUGGACUGAAUGCCUUCCCCUAGCACUCUUUUCUAUGAGAUUCACCCCCAAUUCCAGACAUGGCCUAUCCCCUUUUGAGAUCUUGUUUGGAUGUGCCCCAAAGACAGGCCUCUAUUUCCCCCAAACCCUCCAGAUGCAGCAUGGUAGUAUGACUAUAUGCCUAUGUUCAGGCCGUACACCAAAGAUUAGGCAGGGUGCAUAAACAAGUCUUUGAUUCUAUUCCAGAUCCAGACUCUGAUUCUGCAACUCACAAACUGCAGCCUGGUGAUUGGGUGGUGAUAAAGAGGCAUGUGAGGAAAGGACUUGAACCACGCUUUGAUGGUCCAUUCCAAGUGCUAUUGACUACGGCUACCUCGGGGAAACUAGAAGGAAAAGCCACGUGGAUACAUGUCAGUCACUGUAAACAAGUCACUCCGAC
This is a non-coding RNA of Pelobates cultripes (western spadefoot toad), 676 nucleotides long. Lineage: Eukaryota; Metazoa; Chordata; Amphibia; Anura; Pelobatidae. The record is from the annotation of a GenBank genome assembly.